Molecule: ribosomal RNA, 488 nt
Filed under: uncultured bacterium
Lineage: Bacteria
Description: bacterial SSU rRNA
Rfam family: Bacterial small subunit ribosomal RNA
Source: RNAcentral
GAUGAACGCUGGCGGUGUGCCUUAUACAUGCAUGUCGAACGAGGCGUAGCAAUACGUCUAGUGGCAAAUGGGUGAGUAAUAAAUAGGUAACCAACCCUUAAGACGGGGAUACCCCAUCGAAAGAUGGAAUAAUACCCGAUAAUGUCCCUUCCGGUGCGCUGGAGGGGAAGAAAGAUGGCGCAAGCUAUCACUUUUGGACGGGCUUAUUUCCUAUCAGCUAGUUGGUGAGGUAACGGCUUACCAAGGCUACGACGGGUAGCUGGUCUGAGAGGACGGUCAGCCACAUUGGGACUGCGACACGGCCCAGACUCCUACGGGAGGCAGCAGUCGGGAAUAUUCGGCCAAUGCGCGAAAGCGUGACCGAGCGACACCGCGUGGGCGACGAAGAUCUUAGGAUUGUAAAGCCCUUUUGCCAGGGAAGAAUACGCUGGAGACAAUAUCAAUAGCGUUUGACGGUACCUGGCGAAUAAGCCGCAGCAAACUACGUG